This 131-nucleotide microRNA precursor is filed under the name Gossypium hirsutum (cotton). RNAcentral's name for it is "MIR7502 microRNA precursor family". It matches the Rfam family "MIR7502 microRNA precursor family". The record is from Rfam by way of RNAcentral. Lineage: Eukaryota; Viridiplantae; Streptophyta; Magnoliopsida; Malvales; Malvaceae.
GAUUAAAAAUUUCAUCCAUUUGUAUUGUUAAAAACUGACGUAGCUAAUGGAAUUACUAAAAUGAUACGUGGCACGUCAUGUUGAUGUAUAAAGACCAAUUUUUAACUGUCAAAUGGAUAGAAUUUUUAACA